This 166-nucleotide ribosomal RNA is filed under the name Gilbertiodendron klainei. Its description in RNAcentral is "5.8S ribosomal RNA". It matches the Rfam family "5.8S ribosomal RNA". From Rfam's summary of the family: 5.8S ribosomal RNA (5.8S rRNA) is a component of the large subunit of the eukaryotic ribosome. It is transcribed by RNA polymerase I as part of the 45S precursor that also contains 18S and 28S rRNA. Lineage: Eukaryota; Viridiplantae; Streptophyta; Magnoliopsida; Fabales; Fabaceae. The record is from RNAcentral.
AACGACUCUCGGCAACGGAUAUYUCGGCUCUCGCAUCGAUGAAGAACGUAGCGAAAUGCGAUACUUGGUGUGAAUUGCAGAAUCCCGUGAACCAUCGAGUCUUUGAACGCAAGUUGCGCCCGAAGCCAUUAGGCCNAGGGCACGUCUGGCUGGGUGUCACACAACG